RNAcentral lists this ribosomal RNA (500 nucleotides) under uncultured bacterium. RNAcentral describes it as "partial 16S ribosomal RNA". It matches the Rfam family "Bacterial small subunit ribosomal RNA", at positions 30 to 523 of the family's 1533-position model. The record is from RNAcentral.
AUUGAACGCUGGCGGAAUGCUUUACACAUGCAAGUCGAACGGCAGCACGGACUUCGGUCUGGUGGCGAGUGGCGAACGGGUGAGUAAUGUAUCGGAACGUGCCCAGUCGUGGGGGAUAACGUAGUGAAAAUUACGCUAAUACCGCAUACGAUCUAUGGAUGAAAGCGGGGGAUCGCAGGACCUCGCGCGCUUGGAGCGGCCGAGAGCGGAUUAGGUAGUUGGUGGGGUAAAGGCCCACCAAGCCAACGACCUGUAGCUGGUCUGAGAGGACGACCGGCCACACUGGAACUGAGACACGGUCCAGACUCCUACGGGAGGCAGCAGUGGGGAAUUGUGUACAAUGGUCGAAAGCCUGAUCCAGCCAUACCGCGUGCAGGAUGAAGGCCCUCGGGUUGUAAACUGCUUUUGUACAGAACGAAAAGGUUUCUACUAAUACUAGGAGCUCAUGACGGUACUGUAAGAAUAAGCACCGGCUAACUACGUGCCAGCCGCCGCUGUAA